Molecule: ribosomal RNA, 2053 nt
Filed under: Penaeus japonicus
Lineage: Eukaryota; Metazoa; Arthropoda; Malacostraca; Decapoda; Penaeidae
Description: small subunit ribosomal RNA
Rfam family: Eukaryotic small subunit ribosomal RNA
Source: RNAcentral
UACCUGGUUGAUCCUGCCAGUAGUCAUAUGCUUGUCUCAAAGAUUAAGCCAUGCAUGUGUAAGUACAGGCCGACUUAAGGCGAAACCGCGGACGGCUCAUUAAAUCAGAUACAACUCAUUGGAUCUCUGCUGAACCGCAUUACUUGGAUAACUGUGGUAAUUCUAGAGCUAAUACAUGCCUUUGGAGUCUCCGACCGCGAGGGAGGAGCGCUUUUAUUAGACCAAAACCCCUGGGCGCGCGGCUCGCGAGGGCCGCGCGCCUGACUCUCUUGGUGAAACAGAAUAACUUUUGCCGAGCGCACGACCCCUCCCUGACGGGUUGGGUCGGCGCCGCGUCCUGCAGGCGUCUGCCUUAUCAGCUCUCGAUUGUAGGUUAAACGCCUACAAUGGCUAUCACGGGUAACGGGGAAUCAGGGUUCGAUUCCGGAGAGGGAGCCUGAGAGACGGCUACCACAUCUAAGGAAGGCAGCAGGCGCGCAAAUUACCCACUCCCGGCACGGGGAGGUAGUGACGAAAAAUACUGUUGCGAGCCCCGAACGGGGCUUCGCAAUUGGAAUGAGUACACUUUAAAUCCUUGUACGAGGAUCAAGUGGAGGGCAAGUCUGGUGCCAGCCGCCGCGGUAAUUCCAGCUCCACUAGCGUAUAUUAAAGUUGUUGCGGUUGAAACGCUCGUAGUUGGAACUCUGCUCCGGACCGGCGGUCCGCCUUAGCGGCGGUCACUGCCGGGUUCCGAGCUGUGUCCCCGCCGGCUUGCAGGGGGUUUGUAUGCCCUUAACCGGGUGUCCCCUUGUGGCCGGCACGUUUACUUUGAAAAAAUUAGAGUGCUCAGAGCAGGCUGACGAUUGCUUACAGCCCGAAUGGUCGUGCAUGGAAUGAUGGAAGAGGACCUCGGUUCUAUUUUGUCGGUUUUUCGGAACCCGAGGUAAUGAUUAAGAGAAGCAGACGGGGGCAUUCGUACUGCGACGCCAGAGGUGAAAUUCUUAGACCGUCGCAUGACGACCUAAUGCGAAAGCAUCUGCCAAGGAUGUUUUCAUUGAUCAAGAACGAAAGUUAGAGGUUCGAAGGCGAUCAGAUACCGCCCUAGUUCUAACCUUAAACGAUGCUGACUAGCGAUCCGCCGCAGUUAUUCCCAUGACCCGGCGGGGAGCUUCCGGGAAACCAAAGUCUUUGAGUUCCGGGGGAAGUAUGGUUGCAAAGCUGAAACUUAAAGGAAUUGACGGAAGGGCACCACCAGGAGUGGAGCCUGCGGCUCAAUUUGACUCAACACGGGGAAACUCACCAGGCCCGGACACCGGAAGGAUUGACAGAAUGAAGGCUCUUUCUCGAUUCGGUGGGUGGUGGUGCAUGGCCGUUCUUAGUUGGUGGAGUGAUCUGUCUGGUUAAUUCCGAUAACGAACGAGACUCUAGCCUGCUAAAUAGUCGACGGGUCUCGUCCUCGCGCCGCCUUCCAGGGCGGCGACGAGUCCCUAAAGCCGGGCCGGGUGCGGCCCGCGCGCGGGCGGCGGUGGUUGCGCGUGCGGGGUUCUGCCUCGUUGCGCGUGGCUGCUCCUCCGCCGCGGUGUUCGCCCCGGCUUCGGAAACUGGCGUCCGCUUCGCAAUCUUCUUCUUAGAGGGAUAAGCGGCAGCAAAAAAUAUACUAGCCGCACGAGAGAUUGAGCCAUAACAGGUCUGUGAUGCCCUUAGAUGUUCUGGGCCGCACGCGCGCUACAAUGGAGAGUUCAGCGAGCUGUCCCCGCUCCGAGAGGAGCGGGUAACCUCGUGAAAGCUGUCCGUAAAGGGGAUUGGGGCUUGCAAAUGUUCCCCAUGAACGAGGAAUUCCCAGUAGGCGCAAUUCACCAGAUUGCACCGAUUUAGUCCCUGCCCUUUGUACACACCGCCCGUCGCUACUACCGAUUGAAUGGUCUAGUGAGGGCACCGGACUGGCGCCCUUGGAGCCGCUGCUGCCCGUCAGUCAGCGCCCUCGGGUCGACGGAAAGGUGUCCAAGCUGGGUCAUUUAGAGGAAGUAAAAGUCGUAACAAGGUUUCCGUAGGUGAACCUGCGGAAGGAUCAUUA